UGCAGUCGAACGGUAACAGGAAUUAGCUUGCUAAUUUGCUGACGAGUGGCGCACGGGUGCGUAACGCGUAUACAAUCUGCCUUUUGCUGAGGAAUAGCCCAGAGAAAUUUGGAUUAAUACCUCAUAGUAUUAUUAGAUGGCAUCAUUUUAUAAUUAAAGGUUACGGCAAAAGAUGAGUAUGCGUCCCAUUAGUUAGUUGGUGAGGUAACGGCUCACCAAGGCAGCAAUGGGUAGGGGUCCUGAGAGGGAGAUCCCCCACACUGGUACUGAGACACGGACCAGACUCCUACGGGAGGCAGCAGUGAGGAAUAUUGGACAAUGGUCGAAAGACUGAUCCAGCCAUGCCGCGUGCAGGAAGACUGCCCUAUGGGUUGUAAACUGCUUUUAUACAGGAAGAAUAAGCCCUACGUGUAGGGUGAUGACGGUACUGUAAGAAUAAGGACCGGCUAACUCCGUGCCAGCAGCCGCGGUAAUACGGAGGAUCCAAGCGUUAUCCGGAUUCAUUGGGUUUAAAGGGUCCGUAGGCGGGUCUUUAAGUCAGUGGUGAAAGCCGACAGCUCAACUGUCGAACUGCCAUUGGUACUGGAGACCUUGAGUACAAAUGAAGUAGGCGGAAUGAGUCAUGUAGCGGUGAAAUGCAUAGAUAUGACUCAGAACACCGAUUGCGAAGGCAGCUUACUAACAUGUAACUGACGCUGAGGGACGAAAGCGUGGGGAGCGAACAGGAUUAGAUACCCUGGUAGA
Molecule: ribosomal RNA, 744 nt
Filed under: uncultured Flavobacteriia bacterium
Lineage: Bacteria; Pseudomonadati; Bacteroidota; Flavobacteriia
Description: bacterial SSU rRNA
Rfam family: Bacterial small subunit ribosomal RNA
Source: RNAcentral